GACGAACGCUGGCGGCGUGCUUAACACAUGCAAGUCGAACGGAGCACCUUCGAAAGAGACUUCGGUCAAUGGAAAAGAAUGCUUAGUGGCGGACGGGUGAGUAACGCGUGAGGAACCUGCCUUUCAGUGGGGGACAACAGUUGGAAACGACUGCUAAUACCGCAUAACGUACGGGUAUCGCAUGGUAUCUGUACCAAAGAUUUAUCGCUGAGAGAUGGCCUCGCGUCUGAUUAGCUGGUUGGUAGGGUAACGGCCUACCAAGGCGACGAUCAGUAGCCGGACUGAGAGGUUGGCCGGCCACAUUGGGACUGAGAUACGGCCCAG
This 324-nucleotide ribosomal RNA is filed under the name uncultured bacterium. RNAcentral's name for it is "bacterial SSU rRNA". It matches the Rfam family "Bacterial small subunit ribosomal RNA", at positions 28 to 334 of the family's 1533-position model. The record is from RNAcentral.